This 401-nucleotide ribosomal RNA is filed under the name uncultured bacterium. Its description in RNAcentral is "bacterial SSU rRNA". It matches the Rfam family "Bacterial small subunit ribosomal RNA", at positions 30 to 431 of the family's 1533-position model. The record is from RNAcentral.
AUUGAACGCUGGCGGCGUGCUUAACACAUGCAAGUCGUGCGGUAACAGGCGUAGCAAUACGUGCUGACGAGCGGCGAACGGGUGCGUAAUACAUGGGAAUCUGCCUUUUAGUGGGGAAUAACCCGGCGAAAGCCGGGCUAAUGCCGCAUAAGAUCUUCGGAUGAAAGCGGGGAUCGUAAGACCUCGCGCUGAUAGAUGAGCCCAUGCCGGAUUAGCUAGNGGUGAGGUAACGGCUCACCAAGGCGACGAUCCGUAGCUGGUCUGAGAGGACGGUCAGCCACACUGGGACUGAGACACGGCCCAGACUCCUACGGGAGGCAGCAGUGGGGAAUAUUGGACAAUGGGGAAACCCUGAUCCAGCGACGCCGCGUGUGUGAAGAAGGCCUGCGGGUUAAUAAAGC